CCUACGGGUGGCAGCAGUGAGGAAUAUUGGUCCAUGGGCGCGAGCCUGAACCAGCCAAGUCGCGUGAGGGAAGACGGUCCUAUGGAUUGUAAACCUCUUUUGUCGGGGAGCAAAAGACGCCACGUGUGGCGUUCCGAGAGUACCCUCAGAACAAGCCUCGGCUAACUCCGUACCAGCAGCCGCGGUAAUACGGAGGAUGCUAGCGUUAUCCGGAAUUACUGGGUGUAAAGGGCGUGCAGCCGGGAAGACAAGUCAGAUGUGAAAUCCCGCGGCUCAAACGCGGAACUGCAUUUGAAACUGUUGUUCUUGAGUACCGGAGAGGUCAUCGGAAUUGCUGGUGUAGCGGUGAAAUGCGUAGAUAUAAGGAAGAACACCAGUGGCGAAGGCGGAUGACUGGACGGCAACUGACGGUGAGGCGCGAAAGCGUGGGGAGCAAACAGGAUUAGAUACCCCGGUAGUC
Molecule: ribosomal RNA, 460 nt
Filed under: uncultured bacterium
Lineage: Bacteria
Description: partial 16S ribosomal RNA
Rfam family: Bacterial small subunit ribosomal RNA
Source: RNAcentral